This 424-nucleotide ribosomal RNA is filed under the name Fusobacteriota bacterium. RNAcentral's name for it is "Fusobacteria bacterium partial 16S ribosomal RNA". It matches the Rfam family "Bacterial small subunit ribosomal RNA", at positions 355 to 776 of the family's 1533-position model. The record is from RNAcentral. Lineage: Bacteria; Fusobacteriati; Fusobacteriota.
UGAGGAAUAUUGGUCAAUGGGCGAGAGCCUGAACCAGCCAAGUCGCGUGAAGGAAGACAGUCCUAAGGAUUGUAAACUUCUUUUAUACGGGAAUAACGGGCGAUACGAGUAUUGCAUUGAAUGUACCGUAAGAAUAAGCAUCGGCUAACUCCGUGCCAGCAGCCGCGGUAAUACGGAGGAUGCGAGCGUUAUCCGGAUUUAUUGGGUUUAAAGGGUGCGUAGGUUGUUCGGUAAGUCAGCGGUGAAACCUGAGCGCUCAACGUUCAGCCUGCCGUUGAUACUGCCGGGCUUGAGUUCAGUGGCGGCAGGCGGAAUUCGUUGUGUAGCGGUGAAAUGCAUAGAUAUCACGAGGAACUCCGAUUGCGAAGGCAGCUUGCCAUACUGCGACUGACACUGAAGCACGAAGGCGUGGGUAUCAAACAGG